Molecule: long non-coding RNA, 642 nt
Organism: Apodemus sylvaticus (European woodmouse)
Lineage: Eukaryota; Metazoa; Chordata; Mammalia; Rodentia; Muridae
Exons: 3
Source: RefSeq, a predicted model, not a curated record
AGGCAAUGAGCAAAACAUCCUCAACAAUCAUCCACGGAGCUGCAUACAGUAAACACAAAGUAAUAAGGACAUUUGGAAGUCGCAAGCUACGAAAGGAAUAAAGUGUAACAGGCGGCAUGGUGGAGCUCCAAGGGCACGUGGAGAAUGAUAGUUUUAAGCAUGUGGCAUGAUCUGCCAAUCAUCAGAGCAGAGCUGGAAACGAAGGCAAGGAUUGACUGAGGAAGACUCUUGGCUCCAGCAUAAACAGCUGAUAGAAAUGAGUAAUUAUGCCUGAGAAGAUGAAGGAAGUUACCUUCUGUGGUGCACACAGUUGUCCUGAGUCAUGGAUGAGGUGCUAAACGCAGUCUUGCCUGUCAGUCUAUGAAGUCAUGGGGCAGAUUUAAACACUGAAGAAAAGGCAACGGAUCGUAGAGACAGCUGCUGGCAUGAUGCUACCACAAAGUGAGAUUUUUCUGGAGUGAAGCAAGACAGAGAAACCUAACACAAGAUCAAAUACUUUAACUAUGCUUGGCUUGUUUUAGAGACAAACAUUUCCUGCUUCUAAAGUAAUCAUUACAACAAAAAUACCUGCUCAUUCACACAUGGAAAUAUAUGCAUGGUUGUUUACAUGUGAAGUAAAUGUGUUAAUGGAUUGUAUUACAU